RNAcentral lists this ribosomal RNA (468 nucleotides) under uncultured bacterium. Its description in RNAcentral is "partial 16S ribosomal RNA". It matches the Rfam family "Bacterial small subunit ribosomal RNA", at positions 28 to 507 of the family's 1533-position model. The record is from RNAcentral.
GACGAACGCUGGCGGCGUGCUUAACACAUGCAAGUCGAACGGAAAGGCCCUGCUUUUGUGGGGUGCUCGAUUGGCGAACGGGUGAGUAACACGUGAGUAACCUGCCCUUGACUUUGGGAUAACUUCAGGAAACUGGGGCUAAUACCGGAUAGGAGCUCCUGCUGCAUGGUGGGGGUUGGAAAGAUUCGGCGGUUGGGGAUGGACUCGCGGCUUAUCAGCUUGUUGGUGGGGUAGUGGCGUACCAAGGCUUUGACGGGUAGCCGGCCUGAGAGGGUGACCGGCCACAUUGGUACUGAGAUACGGCCCAGUCUCCUACGGGAGGCAGCAGUGGGGAAUAUUGCACAAUGGGCGGAAGUCUGAUGCAGCAACGCCGCGUGCGGGAUGACGGCCUUCGGGUUGUAAACCGCUUUCGCCUGUGACGAAGCGUGAGUGACGGUAAUGGGUCAAGAAGCACCGGCUAACUACGUG